Molecule: small nuclear RNA, 108 nt
Organism: Zalophus californianus (California sea lion)
Lineage: Eukaryota; Metazoa; Chordata; Mammalia; Carnivora; Otariidae
Source: Ensembl
GUGCUCACUUUGGCGGCACGUACACGAAAACUGGAACAAUACAGAAAAGAUUUGCAUGGCCCCUGUGGAAGUAUUACAGAGGUCAGCAGAGACUUCACUGAGAAAUAU